GAUGAAGAACGUAGUGAAAUGCGAUAAGUAGUGUGAAUUGCAGAAUUCAGUGAAUCAUCGAGUCUUUGAACGCACAUUGCGCCCCCUGGUAUUCCGGGGGGCAUGCCUGUCCGAGCGUCAUUGCUGCCCUCAAGCACGGCUUGUGUGUUGGGCCCCGUCCUCCGAUUCCGGGGGACGGGCCCGAAAGGCAGCGGCGGCACCGCGUCCGGUCCUCGAGCGUAUGGGGCUUUGUCACCCGCUCUGUAGGCCCGGCCGGCGCUUGCCGAUCAACCCAAAUUUUUAUCCAGGUUGACCUCGGAUCAGGUAGGGAUACCCGCUGAACUUAAGCAUAUCAAUAAGCGGAGGA
This 346-nucleotide unclassified non-coding RNA is filed under the name soil metagenome. RNAcentral's name for it is "partial contains 5.8S ribosomal RNA, internal transcribed spacer 2, and large subunit ribosomal RNA". The stretch from base 1 to 120 matches the Rfam family "5.8S ribosomal RNA", at positions 35 to 154 of the family's 154-position model. The record is from RNAcentral.